AACGAACGCUGGCGGCAUGCCUAACACAUGCAAGUCGAACGAGACCUUCGGGUCUAGUGGCGCACGGGUGCGUAACGCGUGGGAACCUGCCCUUAGGUUCGGAAUAACUCAGAGAAAUUUGAGCUAAUACCGGAUAAUGUCUUCGGACCAAAGAUUUAUCGCCUUUGGAUGGGCCCGCGUAGGACUAGCUUGUUGGUGGGGUAAUGGCCUACCAAGGCGACGAUCCUUAGCUGGUCUGAGAGGAUGAUCAGCCACACUGGGACUGAGACACGGCCCAGACUCCUACGGGAGGCAGCAGUGGGGAAUAUUGGACAAUGGGCGAAAGCCUGAUCCAGCAAUGCCGCGUGAGUGAUGAAGGCCUUAGGGUUGUAAAGCUCUUUUACCAGGGAUGAUAAUGACAGUACCUGGAGAAUAAGCUCCGGCUAACUCCGUG
Molecule: ribosomal RNA, 433 nt
Filed under: uncultured bacterium
Lineage: Bacteria
Description: partial 16S ribosomal RNA
Rfam family: Bacterial small subunit ribosomal RNA
Source: RNAcentral